This 40836-nucleotide long non-coding RNA is filed under the name Ananas comosus (pineapple). RNAcentral describes it as "long non-coding RNA (ACOM_LNC007849)". The stretch from base 10261 to 10332 matches the Rfam family "tRNA". Lineage: Eukaryota; Viridiplantae; Streptophyta; Magnoliopsida; Poales; Bromeliaceae. The record is from RNAcentral.
AAGGUACCGUUUGGUUCGGGUAUAAUAAAGAACUAGCUAUUACAGGAUAGGUACAAGUAUGGGGAUAAGAAAAAUAGCGUUUGAAUGAAAAUUGGGUUAUUCCCGGGGAUAAGAAAAAUAGCGUUUGAAUAGAUAAUAUGGAAUAAGAAAAAUAUUAGGUAAUUUUAUAUAGAAAAUGGAGGUGUUGGUGGGGAUAGUUAUAACUGGUUAUUAUAGGUAACCGAGAACUAUUGUUCUCGGGUAAAAAAUUAGCAUUUUGGUAUAAAGGGGGGGAUAAGGGCCUAUCCCUAUCCCUAUCCCUAUCCCCUAACCAAACACUGCCUGAAAUCCAGCCCCGUCACAUAAUUCAGGCAGGAAAUCAAAGUAAUCCCAAAAAAAAGGAAAUCAACAGUUUUCUACAGUAUUGGCCAAAACUGCAUUUCAUGCCUGAUCGCAUCAAGUUAAAUGAAAUGUGAUACACAUGGAAUCUAUUUGACCGCAGAGUCAACAUAUACAUAGUAUAACUUAAACAUACAGCAGCAUAUUCUCCCUUUCAGGAAUAGGAGAAUGAAAGAAAACCAGAUAUAAAAUUGGAAACCAACCUGAUCAAAAUUUGAGUAGAAAGGCAGUAAUUUUGGAUAGGUUUGAAGUAUUCCCCAUGAUUGUUCAACGAGGCCCCACCAACUGCAAGUUCAAUUAAAGGACCUCAAAACUGCAAAUAUUCAACUUAGUCACAAACAAAGAGUGCAUCUUAACUUGAGAAAUUAUCAUCAAGGAAUUAUAUUAUAGCAUGUAUUCCAGUUUUUACAAGCAAGUCCGGUAUCCAAAGUGCCAUGACUAUUUAUUGGCUGAAAACCCCCAAUUCUAAUUUUAGUGCCUUCUAGACUUCAAUUUAACAUUAAUUAAUCCUAAUUGUACCACAUCAGAAAGCAUCUGAUUUAACUCCCUAUGUUGAAAGUAGGUGAUAAAUGUACAACGUAAGAUUAAGUACAUGAAACAAUCUUCAUCCCCGUGCAAAGAAUGCUUGUUGGCACUUUGAGUUAAGACAAUUGACUAGGAAUUGAUACCACAUGAUGCUGGUAUCAUCAUUGUAAAAGCAUCUUAUAAGAAAAACAAAUAAACACAAAGAAACAAGGUAAAGGGAAGGUUUCUGAAAGGUAUAGGAGUUCAAUUACUAGCUCCUACUUCCUUGAGCGCUUGUUGGAGAAGGAAGUAGAAUCUAUUCAACUAGGAAAUGAUGCACUAGAAGACAAGAAAUGAAUGCCAAUUACACACACACACACACACACACACACACACAUAUGUGUAUAAUAAGGUCUCACAAGUUGUAAAAAUAUAGUAAAGGUCAAAAGGAACUAGAAGGCCUUAAAUGAGAUCAAAUAUUACAUGUAUUGAACAAAGAAAAACCAUUGCUGACUUCCUUCAAAAACCUAGUAAGCACCUCUAAACAAAAGAAUUGGGACAGCCACAUUUCUUUGUAGUGUUAAAGAGUUAAGACCAGAACGAUGCUUCCAGCAAUGUCAAGUGCAGCUGGUGCUGCAUUAUGAUGGUGUAUAAAACAAGGCCAGAGCAGUAAAAGAAUAUCAAAAUAAUUGAAAGGAAAAAGAACGAACAAAACAGAAAGAGGACAUGAGAGAGGAAGUAUCUAACAAUUAUCACCCAAAGAAGGCACCAUUACUGGUUUUAUCUCACAUGGAGGACAAGAAGAAUUCACAACCCAAAGCUCCAAUUAAUGUAUUCUCUGUUAUUGAAAGAUUCAUAGCAACAUGGUCUUCAAAGAAACUAGCAUACCCUAGUUUUCAUCUAAUGGAUAACUUAAUGAGGGGCCUCUUGGCCCUUGGUUUGCACUAGCGCAGCUCACUCCAUUGCGAGCCGCAGUAGUGCAGUCGAGCAGAGCUCUAAGUUGGACUCCAAUUCGACAUUGUUUUCUGCAUUUGUAGGCCUUAGGGCCUGCUAACAUGAAUGAUAAAACCUCCGUAAAUAGGUAGGCUGGCACUAGUGCGUGCUACUGCAGGCACAAAAGCAAGGCAAAACAGAUCCUAAAUCAGAAAAGUCGUAUAGCUGAAUAAGAGGUAUAUAAAGCUCUAAAACUGAAUUAUUUACUUAUACAUCUAAUGGUGCAAACAAAAUCACUAGGAAGCUAAUAUCAGUUAUUAAUAACUAGCUUAAGCAGAAAAUUAGCAUCAUUUUUAUGAACAAAAUUCCCAUCGGACGAAUGCAACACUUCCUAUCUGGAUUUCUCUGUUCUUGCAAAAUCUAAAAAAUCUGCACUUCUCCAAACUAAAUCAGAGAGUACAUUUACCGAUUUUGUGCAGACUGAAAGUCAGGUUCUUGCUUUGUUUCAUAUACCCAUCCAGGAGCAAAUAUAGCAGCUGAAAUAUCCUCCUUUUUCAGUAAAUCAAGGGCCACAUUUGUCUGUCAAACACAGAAAAAAGGAACAAAUGUAUGAAUAUUAUGGUGAGAGUCUGUAUAGAAUAUUUUUAGCAAUCAAUGCUAAAGAUCAAUAUACCCUUUUAUCAAACUCUGAUUUUGUGCAACUAAACUUCCACUCCUACAUAAUAUAGAGCUGAUACAAACAAUUAAGAGAUCUUCAAAGUUUGAAAUGGCGUACAUUCCAUUGCCCACCUCCAAAGGUGUUUCUGCCAAAAACAUCAAUUCCCAUGUACACAUCAAACUUCCUCUCACCAGCAACAGCAGCUGAAUACUCUGGGUACUUUUCCUGCAAGAAUCAAAUUUAUCUAAUUGAGAGAGGUGAAAAAAAAAAUAGCUUCUCAUAAGUUGGAAUAAAAACUGCUACUAACAUUCCAAGUGUAAUUGACAAAAAUGCCGUCACACAAAUCAAAAAAUGGUUUGUUCUUCCCAUUCAAUUGGUCUUGCCAAUCAAGUUGACCAUCUUUAGUCACAGCAUCAUACCUGCAUGGAAAUUAUCAGGCUAUAAUGAAUUGAUGUUUUUGAUGAUUAGAAAACAAAAUAGUUUUUUGAAAGAUCACCAUAUAACCAAAGAUCCAGGAACAUAAGAGUGCAUAGUCUCCGUUAGAUGAUGCAAAAACUCUUUCAAGUUAUCAAUUAGCUGGGAGUCCAGAUUAACCUCCAAAUUGAUCUGAAAUUCAGAAAAUUAAAUGAAUCAGCUCAAAAGGCAUAAUUAAAAACGUUAGCUAGCAUUCAAGAGUUCACAAAUGAUCCCCAUAUUUCUCUCCAGGAAUGAGUGCUGGAUCAGGCUUAAGCAGUUUAAACCCAGAUUGAAUCAAGGUCAAUUCGUAUCCAACCGACUUCUCAAAAAUACUAACCUAUCUGAUCUCAAACCCAGAAAGAUUCUAUUGAACUCGUAUAGUUUAAUCUGGUUUACAACUAGGAUCCCAAAAUAUAACUCAAUCCAGAAAAAUAGACAAAACAUCAAAACGAGCAACUGGUUACAAAUAACAGCAUAACCUUAUGUUGAAUAAAUAAACAGCUUUCCCUACAAACUAACAAAAUUUAAAACUAGAAGAACCAUAAGAUAAACAGAGGGAAACCAAGAAAUCAAACGUAUGAGGAACGAUUCCUACAAAAUGACUAUCGACUUACAUUUCCAUCAUGAAGCACAAAAAGGGAAAUCUCAAGAAUAAGGGAUAUCUACAGCUCACGACCCUUCAACUGCAUGAAAAAAAAAAAUGAGGCUUCUAGGAAGGAUCAGUGCCAAUUGGUUCGAUACAUUUUUUGACCUACAAGAAUCAACCAACCAAAAUGGUGCACAGAGAGAGAGAGAGAGAGAGAGUUAUUUCAAUCAGCAAUGGUGGCAACGAAAGCGAGUUAAGUGUGAAUCAAUGAAGUUUAUUAGGAUAGCUAAUGUAGAAGUACUAUUAGAACACAAUUCAAACUUAAAAAGGAUUACUACACAAAUUUUACCAACAACAACAGUUCUAACGUUACACUUCUAAAAGUUUUCAGCAUGGUUCAUGGUCAAUGAAUAAAGCAAAGGGGUUUCCAAGAAACUUGCACAAUCAUGAAUCUAGGGCUGGCAAAUGAGCGAGCCGGCUCGCGUUCGACUCGAUAUUUGGCUCGCUCGAGCUCGACUCGAAAUUAAAUGAGCCGAGCUUGAACAAAAAAAAAGGCUCGAAAUUCAUUUCAAGCCGAGCUUGAGUAUUACUCGGCUCGUUCGAAUUAGGCUCGAAAGUAUAGAGGAUCUGGUGCUUUCGAUUUUUUGAUUCUUAGAUCAAUCCCUUUAAUCAUUUCUUAUCUUUGAAUUAAUACUAUUAUUAUCUUGUAGGGACAACUCAAUCCUAAGGAUAUUAUUUAAUCCUAGGGGGGACCGCAAUCAUCCCAACUAGGGCUGGCAAAUGAGCGAGCCGGCUCGCGUUCGACUCGAUAUUUGGCUCGCUCGAGCUCGACUCGAAAUUAAAUGAGCCGAGCUUGAACAAAAAAAAAGGCUCGAAAUUCAUUUCAAGCCGAACUUGAGUAUUACUCGGCUCGUUCGAAUUAGGCUCGAAAUGCUCGAAAAGCUCGAAUAUAUAUAUAUAUAUAUAUAUAUAGUAGAGUUACUAUGCUAUUGAAAGUAUAGAGGAUCUGGUGCUUUCGAUUUUUUGAUUCUUAGAUCAACCCCUUUAAUCAUUUCUUAUCUUUGGAUUAAUAUUAUUAUUACCUUGUAGGGACCACUCAAUCCUAGGAGUAUUAUUUAAUUCUAGGGGGGACCGCAAUCAUCCCAACCAUAUAAUUCUUAAUCAAAGGGUCAAAAUUUUGAAAACAUCAAAUCCUCUAUAUUUUCAAUAACAUAGUAGUUCUACAAUAUAUAUAUAUAUAUAUGGCUGAGUGAAUAAUUUGAGUUUAGUUAAAAUUGGCCAAUGUUGUUGGCCCAUAAAAACAAACCCAAUAGGCAAAUAAAAGAGCAAAAUUUCACUAAAUUUAUACAUUUUCUCUUUCUUUCUUUUUUUCACAGAGCUCUAAAUUUUCAAUAUGUUUCUCUCUUUCUCUUUUUCUAUCUCUCACCCUAAGUGGUCAAGCCAGAAUCCUUCCAAGUUACCGAGUAACAGCAUAUGCCCGCCGUUGCCUACUUUGCUAUUAAUUGUAUGCUGGAGAAAAUAUACAGAAUAUUUUUAAAAUAAAAAAUUAUUAUUAUAAAAUUUUAAUUUUAGUUAUAUAUGAUUGGAUAGUUUAAUCCAAUAUUUAUCUAUAUAAUUUAUUUAUUUUUUACUGCAUAAAUGAAAAUGAAUAAUAUGGAGAUUGAAGGCGGAAGAAAAGACAUGUGAGGCUGAAAAGAUUAGAUAUUCAACUCAUAAUUUUUUUUUUUCAUAUUAUAAUACUAUAUUUCAUAUAAUUAUUUUGUACUUUGAACUAUUAGAUAUAUUUUUGUAUCAAAUUAUAGAUAAUGUUUUAUACAAAUUAAACUAUUGAUCGUAUGAUGUUGAGAAUUUCAAGCGGCUCGUUUAGGGCUCGAGCUCGCUCAACUCGAAAUUAGGCUCGCUCGAGCUCGAGCUCGAAUUAAUUUCAAUCCAAGCUUGAGCUUAAAUUUAGGCUCGAAAUUAAUUUCGAGCCGAAUUUGAGCCGAGGUAAGCUCGCUCGAGCUCGGCUCGUUUCCACCCCUAAUCCCAACCAUACAUACAAUUCGUAAUCAAAGGGUCAAAAAUUCGAAAACAUCAAAUUCUCUAUAUUUUCGAUUGCAUAGUAGUUCUACAAUAUAUAUAUAUAUAUAUAUAUAUAUAUAUAUAUAUAUAUAUAUAUUAAAAAAUAUAUAAAUAUAAUAUAUUUUAAUUAUAUAUAGGCUGAGUGAAUAAUCUGAGUUUAGUUAAAAUUGGGCCAAUGUUGUUGACCCAUAAAAACAAACCCAAUAGACAAAUAAAAAAGCAAAAUUUCACUAAAUUUAUACAUUUUUCCUUUCUUUCUUUCUUUCACAGAACUCUAAAUUUUCAAUAUGUUUCUCUCUUUCUCUUUUUCUGUCUCUCACCCUAAGCGGCCAAGCCGGAAGCCCUCCAAGUUACCAAGUAACAGCAUAUGCCUGCCGUUGCCUACCUUGCUAUUAAUUGUAUGCUUGAGAAAAUAUACAGAAUAUUUUUAAAGUAAAAAAUUAUUAUUCAUAUAAAAUUUUAAUUUUAGUUAUAUAUGAUUGGAUAGUUUAAUCCAAUAUUUAUCUAUAUAAUUUAUUUAUUUUUGACCGUAUAAAUGAAAAUGAAUAAUAUGGAAAUUGAAGGCGGAAGAGAAGACAUGUGAGGCUGAAAAGAUUAGAUAUUCAACUCAUAAAUUAUUUUUCUUCAUAUUAUAAUACUAUAUUUCAUAUAAUUAUUUUGUACUUUAAACUAUUACACAUAUGUUUGUAUCAAAUUAUAGAUAAUAUUCUAUACAAAUUAAACUAUUAAUCGUAUGAUGUUGAGAAUUUCAAGCGGCUCAUUUAGGGCUCGAGCUCGCUCGACUCGAAAUUAGGCUCGCUCGAGCUCGGCUCGAAUUAAUUUCAAUCCAAGCUUGAGCUUAAAUUUAGGCUCGAAAUUAAUUUCAAGCCGAAUUUGAGCCGAGGUAAGCUCGCUCGAGCUCGGCUCGUUUCCACCCCAUUCAUGAACCUACACUAUAAAAAGCAUUACCUAAUAUAGCAAAAUGUAAGAUUCAGUAGAAAUACCAGCCAACCAUCGAAACCCAAAGCGCUGGCAAGUUCUGCCAAUCUCUCAGCAUACAUUCGAGCAGCACUUUUUGUCGCGAGCAAUGUCUCACAGACUACCUUACCAGCAUCCCAUUCUGCGAGGAAUGUACCUAAAACCUUCAUGCAAAGGCAACACCAAAUCAAAAGGUGUCAAAGUUAAGAAAUUCUGAACGGUUCAACAUACAAGGAAAUAUGCACAAUGAUUAAAUCAACUGUGAUUUAGAAAAAGCAAUAAGAUGUCGUACAAGCUAUAGAAUAUGUCUAUCAUCCAUCCAAAAAAAUGGUGCAGAAAUAAUAGAUUACGACAAGCCAUAGGGAAACUAAAUAAGCCUUAAGCAAAGAUGUAUAGAAGACAUGACCAAACAAAUAAUUAUAAACUGCAGUCAUCUAAAAUUUCUAGAUUAAUUUACUGCAAGAAAAGGAUAUUCAUCAAAUAUAACACAAAGAAAAACCACAAAACCAAUGCGUAAAAGAAUAAUUCCAUGCUGUUUGUCAAAGGAAAAAAGUAAUAUUCAAAGAUCUUGUCAUUAUACUCUUCAAAUUAUUAGCAUCUAAACCAUGUGCGCUACGGUCAUCAAAGAAACCAUAAUUCUUGAAAAAAAAAAAUUAAAAAACCCUCUAAAUCUCGAUCUAAUAUAAGUACGCUACGGAGAUGACAAAGAUAUAGACAAAAACAGGGGAAACGAAUACCUUGACACCAUGGGUAUGCGCCGCAUUGGUCCAGCACGGUGGGGGAAGCGUAACCAAGUAAUGGGAGAAGUAGACGAACACGUCCAUGAGGUGCCAGUGCCAGAUAGCGUAGGCGUCGGCGUUGCUCCCUCCCUGCACCCACGCGUCGUCGCGGUACCCACCCUUCAUGUCGUGGCACACGAGGAUCCUCCGCCGCGGAGGGAGCGGCGCCGCCACCGCCGCCGCCGCCGCGGAGGAGGGAGGGAGGGGGGCGGAGGCCCUGUUGAAGGGGAAGUGGAAGGACUCGAAGUAGGACCGCGAUUCUAGGGCACGGAGAUCGGCGAUGGGGUAGGAGAUGGGAAGCGACGGCUCCGAGGGAUCGAAGGGGGGAUCCCACGGCCUCCGAUCGUCGUCUCGGUUGGGCUCCAGGGCGUCGGCGGAGGCCAUGGAGGAGCGGAACAGGAGGAGGAGGCGGCGGAGGAGGGGAUCGAGGAGGAGGGGAUCGAGGAGGAGGGUUUUUAGGGUUUUGAGGGUUCGGCGAGGAUUUGGGAAAAGGGGGAGACGACGAGGGAGUGGCAUAAGAGUCGUGUGAAAACAAAAAAAAAAAAAAAAAAAAAAAAAGCGCGCCACUGAGAAUCGGAUUCAUUUACUUUCUCUACCCUCUUUAAAAAAAAAGAAGAAAAAAAUAUUCCCUAUCUAAACUCUUUUUGAAGAAUAUUUUUAAUCUAGCUUUAUUUUUAUAAAAAAAUUAGAAAAAAUAAUAAUAAAAUAAUAAUUUUUAUAUAAAUUAAUAUGUUAAAUGAGUGGAGAUUAUCUUUUUUUUCUUUUCUUUAAAAUUAAGUGAAUAUAAUGUGAUUUUAUAUAUGAGCACUUAAUAAAAAAUUUAUUUAUUAUUAAUAAUAUUUAUAAAUUAUAAUUUUUUUUUUGUACUACUAGUACUUAAUUUGAUUAUACAAGUCAAUAUAAUUUAAAAGUGUUCGUAUAUAAAAUCACAUUACAUUCAAUUAAUUUAAAAAGAGAGAAAAAAAGAUAAUUUCUACCCACUUAACAUAUUAAUCUAUAUACAAAUUAUUAACUUAUCAUUUUUUUUCUAAAAUAUAAAAAUGAAGCUAGAUUGGAAAUAUUUUUCAAAAUGAGGCUAGAUAGAGAAUUUUUUUUUGUAAAGAGGCUAGACAAGUAAAUAGUUCUGAGAAUCGCGAGUUGUUAUCUAAAUUUAUUAAGAAACUAAAAUAUAAUUAAACAAAUAAAUGUGUAAAAAAAUAUAUAUAAAAAGGAGCAAAGUAUGAAUUUAGUGAUCAUCGGAAAAUUUUAUUUUUGGAUAAAUAAAUAUUUGUAUGAGUUUUGUUGCUUCAUUGAUAUCAAGUACCGAACAAAGAAAAUAAUACAAAUACGUAUACGUACGUGAAAUUGGACUAAUUGCUUGUGCGAAGGUUCUUUAAUUAAUGCAAGGUGAGGUUGUAUUUGUUAGAUUAAGUAUUAUCUUAAAAUUUUGAUACUACCGGAUCGAAUUCAAGGUGAAUUUUUGAAAAUUCAAACUCGAACCCAAUUAUCCGAGUCGGAUUUUGAAAAUCCAUAAUCAAAUUUGAGUAUGACAAAAAACAGAAAUCGAAAUGCAAAACCAAACAGAAAAUCCAUUCAAAUCAAAAUUUUUAGAGUAUAAAUUUAAAUUUUAUAUUAUAUAAUAUUAAAUAGGUUUGCCUUCGGGUUCGUGUUAGGAUUCAAGUCAGUUUUAGAUAAAACAGUACUCAAACCCGAAUCCAUCGGGUUUUUACUUUUUAUACUCAUAACUGGCUAUAUCUGUUCAACAUUGAUUAAACUUUUCGUUCGGAUUUGAAUACCCUUGGAGAGUAAUAUUAAUUUUUAAAGAUUAAUUUAUUUAAACAAAACAAAUGUGAGAAAAUAACUAAAAAUAAGAAACAACUUAAUAAAAAACAAAUCAUAUGGAAAACGGUCAAAUCGCUCAAUUGUGCACAAAUGUUAAGCAUACAUUAAAAGAAAAAAUUGCUCCAAACAAGAUCAGGAACAAAAGAUGGAACUCAUGUAUUCUGAAACGAAAGUGCAUCAAAAUGAAGUAAAGGAACUUAGGGUUCAAAAAAAUUCGCCAAGGUUCAGAUUUAGUCACUCGAGCUUGUCUGGUGAGCUUAAUGCUGUAGUUGAAAUGUAACGAUUCAGCCCACUAACAAUAAUAAUUCGUUCGGUCCAAAUCAACGACCGAAAAUACUUAAACUUGUAUUUAUUACUAGGUGUACAUGUGGUAUUCUUUUAUUUCUUGUAUAAUCCAAUCCGCUAACAACAAUAAUUUGUUGGAGCUAAACCAACGGUAAAAAAUGUUUAAGCCCAUUUAUUAUUAUUAGAAUGUGAUGCCUUAUAUAUUUCAAAUUAGUAUUUUUUGUCAUCUAAUGUAGGACUCUUGGGGUGUUAUAUAAAAACUAUAAAGCAAAUCAAGCUAAAAAUGAUUAAAAUUUGAUUAAAUGUAUAGUUAAAUUAGAAUAAAAAUUUUAAUAUGUAAUAAGUUUUUUUUUUUUUGAAAGAGAUAGGCAGCACGCUACCCGUUUCGUCACAUUUAGAAAUAAACUUAGCUGAAAAUGUGAAUCAACUAGGAUUCGAACUUGGAUCUCGAAUACCAAAUAGUAAGCCCUCUGUCACUUGCUCUAGAAAAAGUCGAUAAUAUGUAAUAAAUAUUGAAUAUAAUUUAGUUGUAUGGGUGCAUAGAAAGGUAUGGUAUACCUUGCGUGUGUGGAGCACAAGAAGAGAGAGAGGUAGGUUGUCUCGUUAGAAGUUGAGAGAAGUACGAGAGAUUCAGAAUGAGAACUCGAGUUAAAAUUAUUCGGUGCAGAAAAAGAGCCGAAUGUAAUUAUCUUUUAUUUAUUUAUUUUCUCUAUUUCUUGGUUAUCACUUCUCGUACAUGUACUUCUCUUUUGCACUCUGUAAGGUAUGAAUGGUCGAAUAUGCUUUGCAAAAUGGAUUUUAUUUUGUGAAUUAAAUAUGUAUUAGUUCAAUUUCAAGGUCAAGGGCAUUUGGUCUAGUGGUAUGAUUCUCGCUUAGGGUGCGAGAGGUCCCGAGUUCAAUUCUCGGAAUGCCCCGUCAAGGUGCGAGUUUAGUUAGUUGCUCACUCGUUUUUCUCUUUUUCUUAAAUUUUACUUGUUUCAUCAAAAGAGAAAAAAGUUUUUAAGUUUUCUCUUUUUUCCUUUUUUUUUUUUAACUUCUUCCUAAGUUUUCUCUUUAGAAAUUUGUAUUAGGGGCAUGCUUGUAUUAAGAGGAAUGAGAAAAACACUAGAUAAUAAUAAUAAAGAUUAAUUUGGAGAAAUAAGCAGGCUAAUCAGCCAUGAAAUAUUUUGUUUUUUGUAACUAUUUUCGCCUUUUGUUUUAGAUAAUUUUUAGCCAUAUAAGAGUGUAAUAAAGUACUUUGUCAACUUGUGAUUAAUGAAACAUGUUGCACCAUAAUUUAGUUUUAAUGCCAGGUUUAAUUUCUUAUAAAAAAUUAAAUUUGAAACUAUAAAAAUAAAAUAAAAUGCUGCAGUUUGAGUUACAUGAUACUAAAUUGCAAGUACACCACCAAAAGAGAAAUCUUUAAUUUGAGGCCCUUCUUGCAUGUAUCCAAUGUUAAAAUUUAUUUCCCCGGUCAAUAAUUAUUGUUUAAGAUUAAAAUUUGUUCUUAAGAAAUAGAUCAAUCUAAUUAAGCCUUAUAAUUAAGUUUUAAUUAAGUAGCUAGUAUAUAUUAUGUUAAGAAUCUUUUCAUAUGAUCACUAAUGAAUGCUUUUAACACACAUUUAUUUACUAAACACUGACACAUUAACUCACUGUGCAUGGCAACUUUUAUUUUUCCACUCUAUUAACUAUUGAAUUGUAAACAGUUGACCUUUUUUUUUUGUGUGAGAAAUAAUAUAUAAUGUGCGUAGCUCACGAUUAAAUAAUAAAAGGACUAGCUCAUAGCACGAGGCUAUGGUCAAUGCAAGGUCCCGUUAGAAAACGACAAAAAAUAUAUAUACAUACAUGAAAUCUUAAUCUUACUAAUUAAAUAUUAUUAAACAAUUAAUCCUGUUAACAGAGAUAAUUAUGUUAAUAAGUGGGUCAAAACUACAUCACUGGGGCACAUGAGACAAGGCUUAAUUAAUUACUAUGGAUACUAACCAUUUUCUAAUUAAUAUUGCAGUUUCUAACCCAUGCAUGUUUUUUGUUCGGUAGUAUGAAUUAAUGGAUAGUUCCUGUACUAAUUAACAUGAUGUUGCGACUUGGUUCCCUGUACCUAGUUAUAAACUGAAGUAACUGAGAGUGAUUAAUUAAUAAGAGAGGAAUAAAAUGCUCACUUUACCUGAAUAUUUGAUUUUCUUUUUAUGGUCAAGAACUAAUCAAAGUAUAAUAUAUAAUUAAAAUUAUAUGAAAUAUUUAAGUAAGCAAUACAAGGGCUAAUUAGUUUGCGAUGUAAAAACAGGAUUAGCCAUACACUUCAUCCUUUUUGCUUUUAUGAAAAGAGAAAAAUAAAAGGCCUAAUCUUAAAUACAUAGCUAACAAACAAUUACGUAGAGACUUAUCUAAUUAAACAAGCCAAAAAAGGGGUCUAAGUUUCUACUUGCAAAACAUCUUGGAAAUAAGAUUAAGAAAUUGAGUAACCUAUAAUUAAUCAUAGUGCCAUUGAACCUUGCCAAUGAUGAGCCCUCAAAAGAAGGAUAAUGCUACUUUUCUCCCUUAAUUAAAUUAAUUAGUAAGUAUAUAUGCCUUUUGAUUCUUCCUCAAUAGACUAGUUGUUUGUAGAUAGGUUAAGCUUUGUUUUGUAGUGCAAAUAUACUCUAAUUAAUCAUAUCCAUCUUUGGAUUGUUUCCAUAUUAUAACUUCAUUGACCCUCUCCAAUUUCAUUUCAAUCACCAUAAUGGACAAGAAUUGUCUUUAUAUAAUUAGUGUUCAUUGCUAUAUAUGAUGCAUGAAGACGUCUCCACUUCACCAUUACUUUUCUAAGAGCCUAGAUAUGUAGCAUGCAUGCAUGUGAGAGUCACGUAAUUGUAUAUGUACAACUCCUCUCGAGCGUGUGACACUUGUCAUACCUAUGCACGUGCACUUCAUUAAACUCAUAGGUUCACACACACACACACGCACACGCACAUGCAUAUUUAUAUAUCUUAAUACCAAUGUUUUUUUUUUUUUUUUUUUUAGAGAUAGAUAACACGCUAUCCGUUUCGUUUAUUUUAUUUAGAAAUAAAUUUAGCUGGAAAUAUGAAUCAACUAGGAUUCGAGCUUGGGUCUCAGGUAUACCAACCACCAAGCUCUUUGUCACUUGCUCUAGGGACAGUCGGUAUACGCACCAAUGUAAACACAUAUGCGUGGGUGCAAAACAGUAUGAAACUCUUUUAACUUUUCUUUUGUUCAUCAAGGGGAAAAAUGGUCUUUAAUUACGANGUGGAUCGUUGAUUUGAACGCCCUAUGAUCGAAAACCAACACUAUAGUACCGGAGCUCGGUACUAUAUAUAGAUAUAUAGUAGCCUAGCUUUAUAUAUAUAUAUAUAUAUACCACUAAAAAAGCAUCUUUAUUCAAUAAUUUCGCAUAAUUUUACAUGUUUAAAAUGCUCUAAUUACAUGUCAGAUUUAUUCAUAACAAUACCUUAUAUAUUUAUGCUAUGAAGCAAUUAUUUUUCAUACAAGAUAUAGGAGAAGGAUGCUUUUAUCAUACAAGGUCAACACUCUCCGAGCAUGUGUGUAGAUUCUAAUCAUAGUUCCACAGUUCCACUAUCAUGUGGUUUGGAAUAUAUAUAUAGACAAAAACAAAGUCUACGAAAAUUCAAACUCGAAACCCCCGCCUUAAUUACUACCGUAUGAUUGUAUAAAACAAUCAUUUUGAUCGUUGCGAAUUUAACUCACUAAAGAAGAAUGCUCAGUCCUUCAUAUAUACUUUUUUUUCCCUUGUGUGUACAUGUCUUUUUCUAGUAGCUAGUGGAGAAGUGGAGUGAAUACGGGUGGGUAAAGCAUCUUAAAGUUUGAUCAAGGGAUCAAUUGACAAAUUAAUUGGGAAUCUCCAUAUGCAACAAUAUAUAUAUAUAUAUAUAUAUAUAUAUACACACACACAGCACCAAUUAAAAGGCAGGCUACUCAGGACUUACGCAAACUAACCUCUUCUGCGAAAGAAACUCCAAGGCAUGCAAAACCAAUGAAUACAAGUACUCUACUUUCCGGCUGUACACUUGGACCGAUCCUUGGAGAAGCAGUGCAGCUGCACCAAGAUCACCCACAUGAUGCAAGAAACAAUCACCGAAAAAUAUAAAAAAAAUCAUGCAAACAAAAAAAGACAAAUUGCAAAUAUGUACCAAUACCCCCUCCACAAUAGGCCAAUUUGAAAUUGUUUUGUUUCGUUAUGUUAUUGAAAGGGAUUUGUUAGCGCUGCGCUUGAAAAAGUGUCCGAAACAGUUAAAUUGGUCGCAAGGACCAUUAAACAUACAAAAUCAACAAUUUAAGCAGUAGAAACAACUCAAAUCAAAAGAAUCUAAAUUUGACGGGGUUAUGAACCAAAAGGGGUUUAUUUCAAAAUGGUCUAUGAUCAGGGUUUUCCAAUACAACUUUACCUUUAAAAAAAAAAAAGAAGAAAAAAGAACAAACUGAAAGAGAGAGAGAUACGAGAUCGAACCUUCGGCGAAGUUGACGGAGUGGAGUGCGUGGUCUUGGUCGUCGGCGGCGGAGAUCUCCCCGGAGCAGAUCCUAAGGAGGUACUCCUCGAGAUUCGCGGCGAGAUCGACCUCCCAAUUGGAUUGGGGAUCGCGGUUGGGUUGGAGGAGGUGGAACCGCGAUGCACCGCCGCCGCCGCCGCCGCCGCCGCUGGGCCCUGCGAGCUCCUCUUGGUCGCUCAUCUCCGAGGCUACGAGAGACCCGUUUGAGCGCGGCACCUCGGCAGAUCCAUGAGAAACCCUAGCAAACGUGGGGAGGGGAUUUGGCGGAGGUGUUCGAUGGAGUGGUUCUCGGUGACUGAGUUAGGGUUUCUAGGGUUUCAAGGGGAAUGGGGGAAGAGAGAGAGAGAGAGAGAGAGAGAGAGAGAGAGANUACGUGUACAUGUAUAUUUAUGUUUUAUAUAUAUAUAUAUAUAUACUUGAAUCAAACUUUUGGCAAAUGGCCAUCAAACGCGUGGAAUCGAUCCCCACGUGGAGGUUAAGAUAUAUUACUUUGGAGAGAAUAGGUAGCCAAACGCCAUUCCACAACUCUGGUUUGAGCCCAUGCAUGGCACCGACCCAUUUGAGGAUUAAUUAAGAAAAUGAGUUAGUUGGUUUAAGAAGCAAAGGUACAUAGUCUCUUAUUUACUCCAUGUCUCACACACUCACAUGCUAGUGCUGACCCUCAACUACUACUUAGAAUUAUCUCUUAUUUAAUAAUCCCCCUCUCUCUCUCUCUCUCUCUCUCUCUCUCUCUCUCUCUCUCUCUCUCAUGAGCUCAUUCUUAAACAAACAUGUUUUAAUAAAUGUACCAUAUUCAACAAAUAAUCGCAGGCUCCCGAGACAUUUUAAUAGUCAUAAGACAUGGACUUGGAUCAAGCAGAAUGAGAUCAAAUAAAACCUAGAAGCCUUGAAAGAUUUGCAUUGGCAUCCUUUUACUUUGAUAUUAUGAUCGCGCGUUCUUUGUUUAAAAAUUUAAGUUUAACAUUUUAUGUUCUAAACUUCCAUAAGGUAAAAGAGAACAAACAACUACUACAAGAAAAAAGAGAGUUGCAUCCUAGAUUUGUGGUUGAAUUUCAUGUGGUAUUCUCUUCAUUAAUUAUAUGCGCCCUCUCUUUUUCUUCAUAAGUUUUCAUCAUGCUCUCUCUCUCUCUCUCAUUACCAAAUUGACAAGGUAUAUAGAGGAGAACAUGACCAUCUAACCAUCCAAAAAUGAACUUGAUAACAGCAAAAGGCCAAGGGUACAAAGGCCAUGCAUGGCUACAAUUAAUUAAGCUCAAAAAGCACUAUGUCCAAAGAGACUCUCUCUUAAGAGGCUCCUGAGUAGCUACAUUGUUGCUAGGAGAGGCAAAGUUCAUCAAAGAGGGCAUGCCACUAAUCAUAUUGCUAUUGUGCAUAAGAUAAUUCGACUUAUCAUCGCUGUCUAUCUGCUGCUGAUGAUCAGCCAUCAAGGGUGGCUCCUGCUGCAUUUGAAUACAAAGGAUCUCCGCUUGCGCCACCGCGAGCUGCAUCUGCAGCUGAGAGACUUGGUUUUGUAGGUACGAGAUCGCCCCCACGCACCCGUAUACCGGGUCCCUCAUCCUUGCAUUCGCCUCGUAGACUAAGCUGUUCACUGCAUCUGCUCUCUGGUGCACUGGAAGUUCCUAUAGCAAGUUAGACAAAAGAUGAUCAAAAGGACUAUUAAUAUACUUAGCUAGCAUUACAAGAUGGAUCUUGACUUGAAGAGAGGACUACAAAUGCCUAAUCUAAAAUCAUAUAUAGAUUCGAGCUCUCUCUUGAUAUGAAAAGACGAUAGCGAUGGGAUGAUGUGGUGAACCUGCAACAUCUUGCUAACAUUGCUUGCACCGAAGACCUUGUGGACGAUUGCGAACUUGUGCGGGUCUUCCGAAGGGAAGAAAGGGGCAAAGAUGCAAUCCUUUGUGCAUCGCCUCCGAAGGAGCUUGCAAGAGGCGCAAGGCGAGUUGCCACCCAUCACGAAUAUUAGAUCGACCGACAGAUUAAAUCUUUUCUAGCUAGGGGUGCAAAUUAAUGGAGAAAGGUUUAAGGAGUGGAGCUUGGCAAGAGACAAUUAAGCUACUUCACAAAGUAGAAGCUGAGGAUAGAUGAGGAUGGGUGUGGCCUAUUUAUAAUGUGGGCUUUUGUGCAGGUAGUUGGGUCUGAAAAUUAGAAAAGAACAGAAGCAAUAAAAAUUCUUAGCUUUUCAAGAGAUACCCAAGUAACCAAGCUUGUCACUGACUAUUACAAACCCUAGCAUAGUAGUCAUAAAAGAUAUAUAGGAACAAGUAUGUUUAUUGCCAAGGACAUAAAUUUCACCAUUAAUUAGGAAUCUUAGUUCUAACUCAACCAAUGAGUCAAGGAGCAUUAAAUUAUAUUUGAGAAUAUGCUACAGUGUUUGUGCGUGUCUGCAAAGCAUGUGUACAUGUGAUGCCUUACAUAUUAAGUACACAUUGCGUCCACUCUAUAUACUAUAUGCACUUAAAGUAAAAUACGUAAAAUACCAUUUCUCAAAACAAAACAAAAAAAAAAAAUCAAAUGAACUACAUAGAUUUGAGACUUAAAUUAAGUACAGAGACAGCAUAGAGUGCACACAAGUCACAUGAACCAAAAAAAUUUGAUUAGUACAUGAAUUAUAUUACUAUUACUUCUCUUUAGAAAGUUCAAUAAUGCGCUAGAUUAUCACUAUAGGUUCAAAAAAUGUCCUGAUCCUUAGGAGCUAUAGAUAUAUUGUGGGUGAAUACUAUUAAAAUUCUCAAAAUUAUGGUUUGUGCAUGCAUACCUUAAGUUACAGGGUUGGAAACUUAGUUUGUGAACAAAUGAAAAGUUGCUAAUAUUAUUUCCUUUUAUUACUUAAAAAAGAAUAAACAAUAGCUAAGGAGAUAAACCUACAAUUCCUUCCUACCAUGAUAUAUAUUGGAUUUGAAAGGACAUUAAUUUUAAGCUCAUUUUCGUCGCGGAACCGACACGGUAAAGAAAAAUGUGCUGGUCCCACAAAGAGCAUUUAUUAUGCAAAUAAUUUGUUAUAACAACAACAAAGCAACUAGAUUCCCUUUCUUGUUUAUUUUAACAUCAUGUGCACUGCACGAGAUUAAGUAUAUAUUAGGAACUAACCUAAGAAGCCAUAGUCGUCGACAUUUGGCACAGUACGUACCAUGUAAUUUCCUAAGUAUCAAUUAAUCAGAAGGUCUAAUCACACCGAGGUUAUGUGUGGUUAAUUGGGAAGAGUUAAUUAAUUACAUACCAAUCUUAAAAUUAAUUAAUAUUAGAAUGUAAUUUUCUUACGUUGAUGUUUCUGAUUUUUAUCAUUCCCUUUGAUUAAAACAAUUACGCUUCUAUUCAUAAAUUACAUCGCUCUUUUCAUGAUUGCAAACAGUUUAUAAGGUACUAAUUUUAAAAAGUAAUUAAUACACGAAAUGUGUCGAUCACCCCGGCCGCCAUUUAGGCAAUUGAGCUCUCUUCCGAAGAAAAAGUUCUACAACGAUUUACUUACGUGAUGUUUAUGAUUUUUUUUUUCGUUUGCUUUGAUUAGAAAAAUUAUCAUUCUAUCUCUUUUGGUGAAUUAUAUUAACUGCCCAAUUAAUGAUGUAGAAUAAUGUGUAAUAUAUAUAUAUAUAUAUAGAGUCCGGCUAUUAUACUCUUAUGAAUACGAUCGUCCUCGUAUUCAUAAGUCGUUUUUAAUAAUAGAGCUUCAAAAUCGACGAUACAUACUUCCGGCUAUUAUACUCUUAUGAAUACGAUCGCCCUCGUACUCAUAAAUCGUUUUUGAUGAUAGAGCUUUUGAAUCGACAACACAUAUCAAAUAUUAUCUAAAGCAUUUAAAUCUUCUAGAAAUUAAAUUUUAUCAUUUUUUCACAUUAUUUACCUUACGAUCAAAAUGCGACAAAAUUGACAAAUUUUAAAGUUUAACAGUGGUAAAUAAUUAGAAUAUGUUGAAUUUGUGAUAGAAUAUAUAUUCUAUUCACUAGAUAAAUAUCAAUAACUCCGAUCUGAAGGAUCCAAUCAUUCAUUUUUAGGACGUCAUUCGAUUUUGACCGUCCAUUUUAUACUCGUUUGAUAGAUUUUAUUAUAAUUUUAAAAGUUACGAAAUUUAUUUUUUAGAAGUUUCAAAUACUUUAAAUUAUAUUUAAUAUAGUGGAUUGUCGAUUCGGAAGCUUUAUCAUCAAAAAUAAUUUAUUAGUACGAAAGACUCUAUACUUAUCAAGAGUACAGUAAUCCUACUCUCAAUAUAUAUAUUCCCCCCAUUAAUUACAUAGCAAUUGAUGUGGUUUCCACGUUGUGGUUUUGACCAAGUCGUUUGGAGAUUCCCCUUAUCUCCUCUCACGUAGAUAGAGAGAUGAGCUAAUUAAUGAAGGGGGAGGAGGAGGAGGUUGUGGGUGUAGAAACGAUGCAACCAAAAACAANAGUAUGUAAUUUUCUUACGUUGAUGUUUCUGAUUUUUAUCAUUCCCUUUGAUUAAAACAAUUACGCUUCUAUUCAUAAAUUACAUCGCUCUUUUCAUGAUUGCAAACAGUUUAUAAGGUACUAAUUUUAAAAGUAAUUAAUACACGAAAUGUGUCGAUCACCCCGGCCGCCAUUUAGGCAAUUGAGCUCUCUUCCGAAGAAAAAGUUCUACAAUACAACGAUUACUUACGCGAUGUUUAUGAUAUUUUUUUUUCGUUUGCUUUGAUUAGAAAAAUUAUCAUUCUAUCUCUUUUGGUGAAUUAUAUUAACUGCCCAAUUAAUGAUGUAGAAUAAUGUGUAGUCCGGCUAUUAUACUCUUAUGAAUACAAUCGUCUUCGUAUUCAUAAGUCGUUUUUAAUAAUAGAGCUUUAGAAUCGACGAUACAUACUUUCGGCUACUAUACACUUAUGAAUACGAUCGCCCUCGUACUUAUAAGUCGUUUUCGAUGAUAGAGCUUCCAAAUCGACGACAAAUAUCAAAUAUUAUCUAGAGCUUUUAAACCUUCUAGAAAUUAAAUUUUAUCAUUUUUCCACAUUAUUUACCUUACGAUCAAAAUGUGACAAAAUUGACAAAUUUUAAAGUUUAACAGUGGUAAAGAAUUAGAAUAUGUUGAAUUUUUGAUAGAAUAUAUAUUCUAUUCACUAUCUAGAUAAAUAUCAAUAACUCUGAUCUGAAGGAUCCAAUCAUUCACUUUUAGGACGUCAUUCGAUUUUGACCGUCCAUUUUAUGCCCGUUUGAUAGAUUUUAUUAUAAUUUUAAAAAUUACGAAAUUUAUUUUUUAGAAGUUUUAAAUAUUUUAAAUUAUAUUUAAUAGAGUGGAUCGUCGAUUCAGAAGCUUUAUCAUCUAAAAUAAUUUAUUAGUAUGAAAGACUCUAUACUUAUCAAGAGUAAGAGUACAGUAACCCUGCUCUCAAUAUAUAUAUAUUCCCCCCCCCCAUUAAUUACAUAGCAAUUGAUGUGGUUUCCACGUUGUGGUUUUGACUAAGUCGUUUGGAGAUUCCCCUUAUCUCCUCUCACGUAGAUAGAGAGAUGAGCUAAUUAAUGAAGGGGGAGGAGGAGGUUGUGGGUGUAGAAACGAUGCAACCAAAAACAAUCCUUAAAAAAAAAAAAAACCCUAACCCUAGAGAGAGAGAGAGAGAGAGAGAGAGAGAGAGAAGGGCUCGACGUGAAUGUUUGUUGACAGACAUUCACGUGGGCACGUCUCGGGUCCUCUCACUCUCUCCCUCUACGUCGAGUAAUUUGAGUGCACAACAAACUAUGCAUCCCAUCCUUUAAAUUUACUCUUUCAGAUGAAUCAUUGAGUCUCUACAACGGAGACCCCACAUCUAUUAAAAAAAAAAAAAAAACACUAUUUUGAAGAUGCGAGCGAAAACAAAUAAUAGCAUGCAUGCUGAUUUUAUAUAUAUAUAUAUAUAGUUAAUGAUGCUUAAAAGCUUCCCAGACUCCUAAUAUAGUAUAGUUUUAUAUUUGAAAGUAUCGGUUAAAAUGUCGAUAAAUAAAGAGUUGUCACGUAUAUACCGACGCAACCGACACUUUAAAUCAUUAGAAAAUUAAAAAUUCUAAUACUUUAAAACGUCAAAAAAUUAAAAAUAAUAGUAAAAUAUAUUAUUUAAUAAAUUAAUCUGGUGUAGUAGAGGCUUCCUAUAACAACGCUUUUGAAAACGUUAGCUUCAAGCGCCAUCUUAAAAGUGUUCUUAUAUUGAAAUUUCUUUUGUAUAAUGAAUGUAAAUCGUAUCAUGUCCGAACAAUUAGAAAAAAUAAUAGAUGAAUAAGAAGAAAUUUUUAGAGCUAGUUUUGAUAUCAUAUUAUCAUGUUACUUAAAAAAAAAAAAAAAAGCUGGAAUGGGAAAAAGAAAGAAUUUGAACCAACCCAAAAGAGCUUGGUAUCUACAUACUAGUCGAGCCUAGUGGUCCACAAAAGCUUGACUAGCCAAUCAAAUAAUAAUUAAUUAUAUAUUAUACGUACACUAUUUUGUAUUUUUUUAAAAAAAUAAUUUUGAGUAUAGAAGAAGAUGCCGACACAUUGAUCAACUAAUUAUAAAUUUAUUCAAACUCUAUAUAGAAUCAAAGGAUCUUUCUAUUACACGCCACCCCAAUUCACUAUACACAUUAAAGAUUAAUAAAAAAACAAUCAAUUAACAAACAAACACAAACACACACACACACACACACACACACACACAUAACGGUUAGACAUCUUGCAAGCUAUGCCCUCCUAGGGUUUGAUUAACAAGUCCUUUCGCAGAAUCAAAUUGAGGGGGCCUCUUAAUGAGACCUGACACCAAAUUAACUCAUGGAGAAUAUUAUAAAACAAACUCAUUGCUACAGAGAGAGAGAGAGAGAGAGAGAGAGAGAGAGAGAGAUACACUAAACAAAAAACAAAUAAUGGUUGUUGAAGCCACAAGCUUCUACUAGUAUCCAAAGCCCUAUGCCCACCACCCAUGCAUUUAAUGUGCUCACAUGACAAGCUUCAAAGACACCACUCUCUCCUCUCCCUUGUGUUCCAAUCAAGUACUGCUUCUGCUUCUCACCAAUUUGCUAGCUAAGUUGUCAUGUUUCUUUAUUUCUUAAUUUCUUUUUUUUUUUAGAUUAUGUAUAGCCCUUUGAUGAGUUGUACUUUAAAUAUUGUAUGGAGAUCACUCAACUGUAGAACAUUUUGAAGUAGCUAGGUUCCGAGACUUUUUUAAGCUCUAUCGACAGGCUCACCACCGCUGCUUUAAUUUAUUUUGACUUGUUUAUUAGCUGAAAGGAGUGUAGAUUUUGUUAAUAAUUAACAAUUAAUCAAGUGUUGAUUUUAAAUUCAACUGAAGCGUUGAUUUUGACGAAAUCGUGAAUUCAAAUUACUCAAGAGGAUCCAAUGAAAAGCAAAUAGAAGUUCAUAAGACAAUCUCAAAAAGGUCUACAGUUGUAGGGGACACCUAUAUAUUUCCACCAAAUUGAGAUUAAACAUAGUUUUGAGUGUUGGAAAUUAACCCUAUCAUGUUUUCUUCCAAAGCUGGCACCUGCAACGUAUAUAGCAGCUCUAAGCACUAGGGGGGAGAGAGAGACAUUGAGAGAGAGAGAGAGAGAGAGAGAGAGAGAGAGAGGGGGGGUAGGAGAGAAACAGACAUCUUAGAUGUCUUGCUUAAUGAGAGGGGGAAGUAAAAACAAAAAGAAAAACAUGCGAGCUCCAAUGCAACACAAUAAAUGCAUGGGUUGCAUGGAGAUUCGUUUUGCAUGAACCGAGCUACCCAUUAUUAUUAUUAUUAUUAUUAUUAUUAUUAUUUUAUAUAUUUUUAGAGAGAGAUAUUUAACAGUGCUUUUAAGCUAAAUAUAAAAAAGUUUGGAGAGAUAGGAAUCACGAUGGGAAAAUACAUUAGAAAAGAGAUUUUUUUUUUUACUCUUGAAAGCAUUCGUGAGAAAAAAGAUUUUGUUUUUCUAAAAAAAUUUGAAAAACGAAAAAACAAAUAUAAAAAAAUAAUUUUGAAUAUAAAAAAGUUCUAUUCUUAAAUUUUAAAGAUCAUUCAAUUUCAACCAUUUACUUUGACAUGAUUUACUUACUAAAUAAACAAUUAAUUUUUAUUCCUAAGAAUUUCAUAUUAUCCUAAAUUAUAUUUAAUAGUGCGGAUUAUUAAUUUGAACAUCUUAAGAUUGAAAACAAAAUUAUAAUACCGAAGCUCCGAUACAAUAAAUAUAUAUAUUAUCAUUAUAAAUAUAUAAUUAAAUUAUAUCGUAAAUGAAUUUUUUUUAUCAAAUUUUCUCAAGUUAUAAUACAAAAUGAUCUAUUCAUCCCUCACAAUAGUUAAUCCUUAUAUAAUUUAUAACCUUUGGUUUAAGUUCUGUUAUUUAGGAUAGUUUUCUUAUUUGAAGCAAAAUAUUACAAAUAAAAGUAAUCAAAGUAAUUAAACUAUAAGAAUACAAAUAUAAACUAAUUAAAAGUAUUGCAAUACAAAUCAAAAGUAAAAUAAAGAAUUACUAAACUACACCUAAAAUGAUAAAUAAAAAGAUUUAAAAGUAAUUAAAGUAAACUAUAAAAAUUACGAAAAUAAAAUAAACAGAUAUUAACAUAAAUCGAAGUUAAAAUAAAAAACUAUGGAAUAUUUAAAAUAACACAGAGAUCUAAAAUAAACCUAACAAACAGUAUCUAAUUCUUCAAGCCGUAACUACAUAAAUAAAAUAAAAAUAAACUACAUGGAAUAAAAUAAAAACAUACUAAAUUAGUAAAAAUGAAGACAUUGAAAUAAUUAAACUAAACUAGAAAAAUACAAAUAAUAAAUACAUACUAUCAAGCAUAACAAAUGUAACAAUAAUUAAAGAGGUAGAAGGGAUGAAACGGGUAUUAAUAUACUUUGGGUGGAAUAUUCGUAAUAUAGAUAAUUUUGAUCAUUUGACAAAAUCUAAUUAAUUGGCAUUUUUUAUAUUAAUAAUUUUUGGAGAAUUUUUAUGUAAUUAGAGGUUGACAAAAGAGCACCCAUGAAAUUAAUUCUUUUAAAUAAUUCAAAAAUUUUUUACCUUGAUUUAACAACAAAAAUACCCUAAAUCUGAGCCGUCGAAGCACCUCAGAUUCCAGUCAUUGGAUGGGAUAGGAAAAAAUUCGUCACUGUAACGGUUCCACAUAAAGAACUAAAUAAAAUAUAAUAUAACAGUUUUAUUUUAAAAUGAUGUUUUAAAAAUAAUUAAGAAUAUAUUCUAAAAAAAUGAGAAAAAAAUGUAUUAAAUAUUUUUAAUUUUAUGUGAAAUAACAGUAAUAAGGGAAAUUUUCUCAAUACAAACUGAGGCCAAGAUGAUACCAUAGGCCGAGUUCUGAACAGCACUAAAAUCAAAUCUUAUCUGAUCUAUUGAUGUUCAAGGCAGGGUAAAGAGUCAAGUAUACUAUGGCUAAACUACUUGGAAAAAAAAAGAAGAAAAAAAAAAAGCUCUUACACUAUUUUAGCUUGUAAACAAUCACAAUUCAAAUAGGACCCAAAAAGUUGUGUGUUAAACUUCGAUUAAAGCAUACCGACAUAAGACUCUAAAUUACAACUUAAUUAGCUAAAUCAAAAACUACGUAAAUUUUUUCUUUAACUAAAGUCACUAAAAUAGAAACGUACUACGCAAUUUGUUCAAUUUUUAUUAUUCUAGUAUCUGAUAUAAGACAAAAUUAAUUUGUGUAAAAUUUUGCAUACUAGUAAUCCUUUCACAUUUCUAAACUUAUUAAAGACAAUAAUAAAAUAUCGCAAAUUCUUUCUUCUUUUUGUUUUUCCCCCUUACUGUGUAUGUGCUGUAAGGCCACGUUGCCUACUUCGAUUCACCAGUUAAGAUGAGGUAAAGCAAAUGCGUUUACGCGUAUCUCACUCAUAAUUUUUGUCAAUUGGUGAAAAGAAAUGCUGAUGCUACAAUCACUUCACCCAUUCCCGAGAGGAAAAUAAGUUUUACAUUUAUAUAAAAAUAAUGUUUGGAACAUAUUGAGCCAUUCACCUUCUGCAUGUAAUAUCGAUAGAGAAAACACAUGAAAACCAAUUUUAAGUGACAUAUUAAAACAGGAAGAUUGUUCAUACAUUCUCUCUGUGUUGCUAUUGUUACAAUCGAUUUUGUUACCCCUCGUAUCUGACCACAUAAGGUAAUUAAUAUCAGUAAAACAACACCCACAAUCUACUGGUUUUGCAGAUCAGAGUAUUAAAGAAUAUUUAAGUUUAUCACUAGGAAACAAUAACUAGCAAUUCUUUUUAAAGUUCAUAUCGAGGAGAAACUACUAUCAGUAAUCCACUAUUCAUGACAAGAAAAAAUAUGGAGGCGAAAAUAGUCGUAAUGACACUAUAUAAAAUAUAGUAACUAAAGAUUACUAUAUAAACACACAAUCCCAACUUGUAAAAUGACAUUACAUUUUAUUAAAGAACCACGUCAAAAACCAGGAAGCGUGGAGAUCAGAGUCGAUAAGAACUAAACCCAGACCACGACCGAAACAGACUGAAGCGUAGGGCUCAAACGGGAAUAGGAUCGAGAUUGGUUAAGGAUCCGAGCGAGUCUUGACUCGUGACAUGUCAACUGGCCACAAAAAUUGUCCAAAGACAGCUAAGGCCUCAAGAAAGGCAAAAAAUCAAAGGGAAAAUAUACGGAGACAUUUUUGAUGCUCCUACGUAACAAGUCAUUAGCACCUUCAGUGAUGAAACUCGAUUUAUGCUAUUUUGAAUAAAAAAUAUUCGAAGUCAUAGAAGUUAGACAAUAAAUAUAUAAAUUUCCAAAUCUUUACAUACAUUUUUAUACUCACCAACACACAAAUAAUGACUAGCAUUAGUACAGAUAAGAAAGUGCAGGCUACAGAAAUUGAAAAAAAAAAACGUACAUACAUUUUCUAAAUUAUAGACGACUUCGAAUCGUUGAUCAAUUCUUCCAAAAUUUAAAUUUUACUAUCCAUCAUUUCAAUUAAUUUUACUAAAUUUUAAAUCAAUUACUUUGAUAAAUUUAUAAUUACAAAUUAUUAUAUAAAAUACACUAAAAUUGUAAAAAUAAACAACAUUCCAUUGACGGCCCAAAUCAAGCAAAUUGAAAAUUUUGAUUGUAAAAUCAAAAUUAAAAAAAUUUAAUAGUCAUUUUAAAAUAAUAUAUAGUUCAGAUAAAUUUUGUAUGUUUUUACUUAAAAAAAAUAUAUAUCACAGAGGUGGAGGUCCCCCAGUGAGUAAAUAUGCUUGCUGAAAGAGCAGCUCUCACCAGAAAUGAGAACAAGCAGACAAUAUGUUGCCUCCACAGCAACAUAACUCCAAUUUACUAUGCUAAGUAUAUGGUUCUAAGAAUUCAAAAAUAAUUUAAGUUGCAAUUACCUUUGGUGCUCAAUCACACGACAAAAAUCGAAAAUAAGGUAAGACAUUCCAUAUGCAACCACCACGUCGAAUACUCCCAACAUAAUCUCUCCCCACACUUCCAUUGCGGUUCAAUGCAGUCAGCCACAUCGGAAGACCUUGCUGGGGAUGCAUUCUUCAAAUCCGACCGCUUUUCUCAAAGCACAUUAAAACUGAGCUCUAUGGCUCUAUGAAAUGACAGUAAAAAUUUCCAUUGAAAAACCAGCGGGUUCCAUUGAAGAACCGGCUAGAUGCUUCACAGGUUACCACUCUUACUUCAUAGCAUCAGAGAAGCAAAGAUCUAACAUAGUCCCAAGUUUUCGUUGGACGUUAAAAAAGUUUAUAACGGUUUGCAGCACUUUUCAAUUUCAAUUAAGCUCUGAAGCAAGCAAAGCAGUCAGGCGCAUAAAUUAAGUUCUUCCAUGUUGCGACGAGAAAAAUUUUCAACUUAAUCAUUAGACAGGCGCACAAGCUACCGGCAAGAACACAUACUAAUGUGCUUAGAUAUCCCACUGCACCUCUAACGAAGGAUGCGGAAGAGGAAGUGACACAAGCAUCAUCAGGACAUUAGAUGACUGCUACCAGAUUAGUACCUUUUCUGCAAAUCCUAAUGGAUCUAGUAGACAUCUCCGACAAUCUCCUCCAAUCCAUAGACAUUGGGAUAUAGCGUUGUCAUGAUUGUGUACAAUGCUCAACUUGGAGGAAAGCUAGGAAUAGUUGAUACAGCAUAAAGCUAUUUAGCACUAACCCGAAUGCGUCUGCAGCUAGGUGAACUUUUUAGGUACGUGAAUUGAAGGACUACCAAAAAGUUAUGAAGACCAAACGUUUGGUUGACCAAGGAAAAAGAGAUUAGAUAAAGAAGAGGGGGGAGAGAGACCCACCUGAAUAUGUAGGUGCUCCGAAAUUUUCAGUCCUCGAAGGAAGCAUCUCCAUUCAAGAAGGAUGAUUUAGGUUUUGAUAAUUAGGUAAGUCCGCUUGUGGCGCCUACGUCUUCUUUUUGAGCCAGAUAAGGCUUCAAGAUAUUAAAAGUCCAUUGAAUGGAAUAUCAUGGAGGCAUGGAUUAACAUAAACACACAAUCAAAGAAAAACAGUAAGCAACACUUGAUAAAUAAAAAUAAACAAAAGCACAAAAUCGUGAUUAAAGCAAGACUAUGUAUUCAUGCAGAAGAGUUAAAAAAUACCACCUAAACAGAUUAAUGGUGACAGGGAAACUAAUGAUUGUAAAUAUCAAAAUAGAGUAGCACUCACCUGAAAAUCUCAAACCUACCAGCAAAUUUUCGCAGAUUAUAUCCACUUGCCUCUAGAAAAAAACAUUCACACAACUUUUAAUUAAUUUAUGGUCAAAUAGAAAACUGCCGCCCAUCCAGAUUUUCUUCAGAUAAUAAGAUAGAAAAAGCCUAAGGGAGAAUAAAGUCCACCUACCUUAGGCUCCUUUGUAUGAGUGAAUAGGUAAUAGAAACAGUUUCUCACAGAUCACAUUCUCAGUACAUUUUUAACUGAUUCUCUUCUUCAGUAUGGUCGAGAGCGGAAACCACCGCCGCGGUUCCUGUCAGGCCCCGCACCUCCACCAUCACGGAAAUUGUCCCUGCGCCUGUCACCACCACCACCAUACCCACCACCUCUGCCACCCCUGCUCCAUAAGAUACAUUAAAAGAAUAUAAUGAAAAUUAGAAUGAAAAUGUGUAAGGAGCAAAUAUCUUCAACCAUUUGUUAUGAAUAAGAACCGCUAUCUCAAAAUGUAGCAAACCAACUAACACUUUUGACAACAAAAUGCAAAAAAAGAGGAAGGGAAAAUACGUUCUACAUUGGCAAAGUCAUCAAUAGCCCGCAGAUAGUAUCAAAAGGCAUUAGCAUCAAUGCAAAUACCAAACCAAUACAAAUACCAAACAAUUAAAAGUAGAUCAUCAUCUUGGUUCUUUCCCAGUCUAAAACAAUCUGUUUAUCUGCAUAUGUCGACAAGAAGAGCUAAUACAGUACUUGCAACGACAAAUGGGAACAAAGGGAGUACAACUUAUUUCUACAAAUUAUUAUAGAAUAUCAAAAAAAUUUCAAAAGCUCCAAAAAUAAUCUCAUAGCUUCAAUCACAAAAGAAACAGUAUCAAUCAUGGAAAGAAAAUUACAUUACAACAUUUUCUUUUAGCCUCUUACUUAAACAAUUAUACCAAACGCACUUCUUUAAUUUCUCUAUUCUAAAUUUCUAGUAUUAUCGAUCUAGAACAAUUUUACCUUUCAGUGUAGUUCACCGCAAACAAAUUACAUUAUUUUCCUUCAUAGUUCAUUAGGUUCCCUUGUAAAUAGUUUAUUCCAAAUUGUCAUCCAAAUACAAUUUCCCGAACAAGUUCACUAUCUAGAAGGCUACAAGAAUCAUACAAAUGCAUCUGCUUAACCACUACAUUGGGAAGAUACAGAAACCCUAAGUAAAACAUGGCCAACGACCUAAAAGUAUUAGUUAUGCAAGAAUAUUUUAAUAAAUCCAGAUGAUGAAAAUAUUUCCAUUUCUCUAGAAAUCGCAGGAAACAAUUAAACACCAAAAAAAAUGGUUUAUUCAGAUAUCCAAACAAUGAAAAAACUAGUGAUCAAGAUAUUCACCCUAAAUAUUUAUAGUUCUCAACGAAGAACUCAUGUAAAAUUCUAUCUUACUUGUCCACCCUUUUCAUUCUUCUUCCACCGAUUUGGAGACCUGAAGAAGAGGGAACUUACCUAGUAUGCUGCAGUUUAUGACAUCUAGUACCUCCAAUUGAAUCAUAUCAAACGAACAACAAAAAACUACAGUUGAAAAUUGCAGAAUUAUAACAUCUAGUACCUCAAAACAAAUAAUAAGAAAACAGAAAGAAAAUACAAGCAACUUGUCAACAGCUAAACAGACAUUCUAUAAGCACCCAAGUAUUUGUACAUAUAGGUAAAUAUGGCGAACCAAAACUAACAGCAUAUGAGAUGCAAAACCAACCAGGACCAAAUGUAAAGAUCUCUCAAAAGUAAAACAGCCAUUAUAAUCUUUACGUUUGGUAUUAUAAAUGUACUACAAGACAACAGCUUUAAAAUCCACUAUGAGGAAACAGCUAAUACUUCUUUAGAGAUAUAAAUAGUCCUAGUUACAAAUCUCACAUUCAUUAAAAUCAGAGACUCAAAGCACAAAUGAAACAUCAAAAAAGAUACCAGCUUCGCCUGUGUCAUGUAGAACAAAAUAACAAACAAAAUGAGCAGAAGAGAUUUUACCCAUGGCCAUAUGCAGGUGGAGCUUUAGGUGCUGUUUUUUCAGCCAUGGCAACGCUUAUCUUGUAGCCUCUCAUAUCAUAAUCUGUGAAAAAACAGUUGUAUAUAUCAAAUAAAUUUAGAAUAAACAAAUAAUAAAUAGCAAAUAGAAGGCAGCUCUCACUGUUAUAAAAUCCACCAGCUGAAUGCGCAGCAGAGGGAUCUUCAUAAGAAAGAACAGCAUCACCUUUAUUUUUUCCCAGGUCAUCAGUAUAUAUUUUAAUAUUCCAAGGCCACUGAUCCUUGUAGCCACGUUUCUGCUUAAUCCUUCCAACCUUUAAAAAAAAAGGUCUAGAACAGUUAAAUUCAGCAAAGGGGAAAAUAUUAAGCAAUUAAAAAACGGAUACAAAUUUCAGCACUACUAAUAAGCACACACAUAGCACUACAAGUAUUUAAGGUAAUCAGUUACCACAGUACCAACAUAAUUAAUAGCCGCCGCCGCCAACACCAUCACCACCACCAUAAAUUUCAAUAUGGUUUUGAUACAAGAACCAUGUUUAUUCUCAUAAGAGAGAACAACUUCUGACAAGAUAAACCACACUUUUACAGAAGAAUUAUGUACAAGCGGAUGAAGAGCUCCAUGUAAUUAUAGCAAAUCAGUGAUGACCUCCCGACCUACUACUUUUAGCAAUAACAACACAAUGACGCAUUUCCUACAACUCAUACUAUUGUCAAACAUAAUGUCAGAAUAGUAUGCAAUUCACAUAUUUCAUAAAAGGCUAAAUGCGCAUACACACAUACACAUACAUAUAUGUACGUAUGUACACAUAGAGAAUUUAUGAACUAAAUAAAGGACAAAUAAGAACUAAUUAAUACAUACAUACAUAUACAUAUGUAUGUAUGUAUAUAUAUAGAAUUUAUGAACUAAAUAAAGGACAAAUAAGAACUGAUACUUUUUUUUAAUUAAAAUGAGAAGUUUCAAUACCUGUCCAAUCCCACCAAAAAGCUCCUGCAGUUCCUCAGCAGUAACAUCAGGGGGCAAAUUCGAUAUGUAAAUCCUAGAAUUAUCACAUGUAUCCCCACAAUUAUCAUCACAUUGUUUAAUCUUUCCAGAGGCCUCAACAGGAGCACCACCACCAUAGCCUCCACCUCCCUGAUAAGGAGGCGCACCACUACCAUCACGAACAGGGACUGGCCGACCACCAUAGCCGCCAUCGUAGCCAACCGGUGCACCUCUGGACCCUAAAGGAGCAUCACCGCCAUAGGGGUUUGGUGGUGGAGCACCAUAACUAGGUGGAUAGGAACUCGGACCACCGAAACUUGGGUUAGGUGGCGGAACAGGGUCAACACCAUAUGAGUUAUUCCCACCAUAAGAAUUCGGAGGAGAUGAAUAGUUCCCAACAGAACCCCCAUACGAAGGAGGAGGAACCUGGGCAUAGCCAGUUUCUUCUCUGCCUGGGUUGGGAUAACCACCCUCUUCUCUACCCGGGGUAUUACCAUAACUCCCUCUUCCGCCAUACCCACCGUUACGGCCACCGCGGCUUCCAUCAUAGCCGCGAGAUCCACCACCGGACCCAAAAUUACCGCCGCCUCCACGAUUAUAAUCAUCACCGCCACCAGAACCAUAAUCUCCGCCACCACGAUUAUACCGUCCUCCACCUCCACCACCUCCCCUGUUAAACCCACCGCCACCGCCUCCUCCCCCACGGUUCGAACCACCACCGCCGUUAGGGCACGGAGCACCACACUUAUUGCAUUCGACUCUUCUUGCAAAGUUCAAGUUCCCGCAGCUUACCCAAGAAACAAGUUUUAUCAGACAAGAAGCACAACAAAAGAAACCCUAGAUCAAGAAAUCACAAGUACACAGUAAAUACCUCGAAUUAGGGCAAACCCAAUCCCCUUCCCGGCCACUUCCGGGACCGCGUCCGCCGCCUCGCCCACCUCCGCCUCCGCCUCCGCGACCCCCACGGUCGCCGCCAUGGUAGCCGCCGCCGCCGCCGCCGCCUACACAGAUCAAAGAAAUAGGUACAAAAUCCAGGCGAAAAUACACUAGAUCCGAGAACUAGGCUAAGCAAAAGGGAGAAAGGCCCCUUCGUACCUCGCUGUCCAUAUCCGCCACCGCCACCGCCACCGUAUCCUCCGCCGCCGCCGCCGCCGCCGCCGCCGCGCAUCGGGGGACCGGAGUCGCCCGCGCCGCCGGAACCGUACGCUCCCGACAUGGAACUAGGGUUUCGCUUCCCUCUUUCACUAGAGAGAGAGAGAGAAAGAGAGAGAGAGAGAGAGAGAGAAGAGUCGUUGAAUUAGGGCAAAUCCAAAUUGCACCGCCGAGAGAGAGGGUCGGUUCUUCGCCAGCAUUUAAAUAGUCGUGCGAACGUUGAUACGAAGGGGAGGUUGCGAAGAUCGCUAAUCGGACGGCUGUGAUGGCGCUGCCGCUACAGCUUUUAUUUACAAGUGUCAACGCGUCCAACACGAUCGAGCUAAAGCUCAAGCUUGGCUCAAAGUUAGGCUCGUUUUGUGAUCGAACCGAGCUCGAAUUAUUAUUAUUGUUAUUAUUAUUAUCCUAUUUAAUUUUGAGUCGUACUGGGAAAAUAGAAUAUUAGCAAAAUUACAUUAUUAAAAUUUCUAUUUAUUUAUGUGACCAUUGAUCAAAUACAUAAAAUUAACCACUUAAAUUGCAUGAUAAAAUAGUAAAACUGUAUGACGCCCCUCCAUGUUGAAGUGGACUCCUAAUAUUUUUCCUUUUAUAAUUGGUAUUUCUUUUUUUUAAAAAAUGUUUUAAUAAAUUAAGAAUUUCAUAUGAGAAAUUAACAAUGAACAUAUGCGGUAUAAGGGAUAUAAGCAAUGCAGCCAUAACCGAAAAAAUAUUAAAGCUUUUUUUUUUGGAAAAAUAAAAAAGCAAGCUGAAAAUUCCAAACAACAAAAGCUGAAAAUUCCGAACUGUCACGAGAUGAGCUUGUUUGCAUGCUUUUUUCUGGGACCUUUUUAUAGUAACCGUAUAAAAAUUUUUAAUUAAAUUUUUUUAAAAUUUUAUUUGACUAAUUAAUUNUAUUAUUAUCCUAUUUAAUUUUGAGUCGUACUGGGAAAAUAGAAUAUUAGCAAAAUUACAUUAUUAAAAAUUCUAUUUAUUUUUGUGACCAUUGAUCAAAUAUAUAAAAUUAACCACUUAAAUUGCAUGAUAAAAUAGUAAAACUGUAUGACGCCCCUCCAUGUUGAAGUGGACUCCUUUUAUAAUUGGUAUUUCUUUUUUAAAAAAAAAUGUUUUAAUAAAUUAAGGAUUUCAUAUGAGAAAUUAACAAUGAACAUAUGUGGUAUAAGGGAUAUAAGCAAUGCAGCCAUAACCGAAAAAAUAUUAAAGCUUUUUUUUUUGGAAAAAUAAAAAAGCAAGCUGAAAAUUCCAAACAACAAAAGCUGAAAAUUCCGAACUGUCACGAGAUGAGCUUGUUUGCAUGCUUUUUUCUGGGACCUUUUUAUAGUAACCGUAUAAAAAUUUUUAAUUAAUUUUUUUUAAAAUUUUAUUUGACUAAUUAAUUCUUUUUUAUAGAUUUAAUGUUAUAAUAAAUAAGAAUAAAAAAAUACGAUGAAUAAUUCACCAUUUUCAGAUUACUGUCUAGUUUUUAAAUGAAAUCUUGGAACUCAAGCUCCCAAACGCCACUACUAAAAGCUGUAGACGAGCUUGUAAUGGUAGAAACUUCGAUAUUAAUGGAGUUAGCCAAAGAAGUGUUAAUAGUAUAUUGGUAAUAAGAAGUAAUCUGAGCUUUCCACACAACCAAAAAGUCCCAAAAUUCAUGUUGGUAUACUAGACUCUUAUAUUCUAAUUUAUAAUUUACCACGAGAGAAGUUGUUCGAACGCUCAGGAGUCAGGAGUUUUUAUCUAGACAUCUUAAAAUAGAUUAGAAGAUGAGGGUUCCAUAGUGCAGCUACAGGUAACUUCAGAAAAAAUAGAGAGGAAAAAAUAAAAAUAAAAACUCGUCUCAUAAUUAUCCUCUCCAAAAUCAGAUAAUUAAUUAACAAUGAAAUAAAUCCACAUAUAUAUAUAUAUAUGGUCAACAAGGCUCAAACCAAUUCGACCAUAGUAAAAAUAUAUACACACACAGUGCAGGAGCUUUUUAGCUAAAAAGUGGAGGUCACAUGCACCUAAAGUUACAAAUUAAAAAAGAGAAAAAGAAAAAAACCGUAGAGUACAUUAUUUAAUUUCCAGAUGAAAUCAUACAAAAACAUAAGCCUAGUCUCCUUAGUCCUCAACGAUGGAAAUGAGAAGAGAAGCCUCAUCUGCUCCUGGGGCUUGUUCAUCUGUUUAAUUUACAGAGGAAUCAACAUUAAAUCAGUGUAAGCAUUUUAUAGCUAGAGUUAUCAACCUCAGAAAUUCGAUGAUGAAUUUUCACACAAAUGUUAGACUACUGCAAUGUAGAGUUUUACUGCACCAAAAAGCUAAAAUUAAAUUAUCUUUUAAGUAAAGGAAAAGAAAAAAAGAAAACUGUGUAACUGCAAGUAAGAUUCAUUAAAUAUGAUCUGUGCUAGGCACAUUAUUAGAUGUGUUAAUAUAAUAAUGCAUAAGUAGAAGAUCAUAAGGGUAAAAGAAAGAGACCUGAAAUAGGAAGAGAAGCAGGUAAAGUUGAGAGGAGGUGAUUAAUAACUCCACCACUAGAGGAUUCCUCUCCUCCUUUUAUCUUUUUACCACUUGGGGAUAUAGCUAUUGUUGCAUCCAAUUUGGAGACUAUAUGAUCUAUUAAUCCAUCACCACCACCAUUAUUGGGUUCCUCAUCCUCUUUUUGGUGGGUCUCUUCCAUGCUCUCUUUAACCUCUUCUUUUUUCUCCUCCAAACCAUGCGGAGAGAGGCUUGGAAUGUUGAUACUUAAGUUGGAGAUUAUGUGAUCUAUGAUCCCCUCUUCUUUUCCUCUUGUUGCUGUAUCCACACCCUCCUCUCUUUCUCCACCUGGGGAUUUCUCUCUCUUCUGUCCUUCCUCUUCUUCUUCUUCUUCUUCUGGAUUUAGAUUUGUUAGAGAGGUCAACCUCUCUCUCUCAUCAGCCACAUCUUCCAUGGUUUCUUCCUUCUUCUUCUUUUCUCUCUCUCUCUCUCUCUCUCUCCAGACUCUAUAAGUUGUACAUAUAUAUAUAUAUAUAUAUAUUUAUAUAGGAUACUAUCAUUAGCACUAAGGUAGUAUUUGAUUCGGGUAUAAGCAAGAAUUAACUAUUACAAAAAUAGAUACAAGUAUGGGAAUAAAAAAAAUAGCAUUUGGAUGAAAAUUGGAUUGUUCCGGAGAUUAAAAAAUAACGUUUGGAUAGAUAAUAUGGAAUAAGAAAAAUAGUGGAUAAUUAUAUAUAAAAAAUGAAAGUGUCAGUGGGAAUAGUUAUACCAACUUAUUUCAGAUAUUCGAGAACUAUUAUUUUCGAAUAAAAAAUUUGAUUUUCGAUAUAAAGGGGAUAACUUUCCCCCGUCCAAACGAUGCCUAAGGGGGUGCUCAGGUAAAAUUAGAUAAGCACCUAAAUGAUAUUCAAAAUUUAAAAUUUAUUUAUUAUUUUAUAUUUUAAUUUAAUUUAAUAUUUAAAAAUAGCACAAAAGGAAUAAUAUAAUUUUUUAUAUUAAAAGAAAAAAAAUGCACUAAGUAUAGAUCAAUUUGAAAUAGGGUCAAACGGUAUUAGUUUUUAAAUUUUUUAUUUAAAUCAUUACUUUAGUUAAAUUUUAAAAAUGCAGGAGAUUCAAUAGCAUUCUUUUUUUUCUGGGGUAAAUUUUUAGCGAUUAAAACUACUCGAUUCGCACGGAAAAAAAAAAAAAAAAAAAGCAAAAAGGACUAGCAAUUAAAAAAAAAAUAGAGACCAUGUUGAAAUAUCCUAUAGUUCGGUGGAUCUAUGUACGAUUUUACAAACCCCGUUAGGUGGACACGUGUUAAAAUAGGAUCAUGCUGCGUUCGCCCCGUUCCGUACCGCCUUGGAAUUUGUAGCCCACCCAGAAAGUAUAAUCUAGGAUGUAACGGUUAUAUAUCACGUUGGCUAAAUCUGACAUGUGGGCCCCACAAACGUUGUAGGGCCCACAUGUCAGCUUAAUUACCGUGUUGUUUGGUGUUACACGGGAGACCAUCUCGCUACGAAGGCGGUUCGGAUCUAAACGGAGAGUGCGGCUCAUCCGAGGCCGUUAGAUCUUACACGGACGGUGGAUCUCAGCUUUAAUGCAAUAUUUUGUGAAACCAUCUCGCUACAAAGGCGGUUCGGAUCUGAACGGAGAGAGCGGCUGAUCCGAGGCCGUUAGAUCUUACACGGACGGUUGAUCUCAGCUUUAAUGUAAUAUUUUAUGAAAAUAUAUGUAUGACAAACCCACAACUAUAGGGCUUUCUCAAACAGAUACUCUUUAACUUUUCUUUUUUCUUUUUUCUUUUUAUUGGUAGAUGGACUUUUUUUAAAAAUUGUCUAACCAUGCCUCAAAUUUAUGAGGCUCAAAUCCGAUCCACGACAAUAUAUCACAGGAACAAAUAUGAAUAUUACUGAACUUUAAUAAAAAUAAUAAUAUAAAAAAUUAAAUUUCAUAAAGAUAUACGUGUAAUGCGAUAUGUUUAUAGAGAUCUGUAUACAAUUAACUCUAGUAAAUAUUAUUUACUAAUGACUUAAUGGAAACAUCUUAAAAAGCAAAAUGAUCCAUGGGCCGAGCUGGACAAGCGGUCUCACUAAUAAACAAUCCAAUUUUGGGCUUUUAGGUUUUGAUAUGUCCAUCCCGAUCUUGGGCCGAAAAAUUUAUCUAUCCGAAAAAAGCAAUUUGAUUCGUAAUCGUAUAAAAAUGUAUUUUUACAAUGCUCACGAAAAGGACUAGUAGCGAUUUUUUAUUACGAUCUUCUCAAUAAUUAAUUUUUUAUAAUAGCAUAAGACACAAGGUAUAAAAUAAAAGCGUAUGUAUAUGAUAUCUCAAAAGCUCAUUCAAUUUUUUAAGCCUAGUAAAAAUUUUCAAAUUUUGUAUUCGAUAAAUAAUUGGUUUCUGAAAAUUUUUUUAAUUUCUAAUGUAGAGAAGCCGCUCUAGAAGCUCUAUCUAUAGAUCAUUAUUUUUUUUAAAAAAAAUUUAUAAAUGAGAUUUUAAUACUCAGAGGCCAUAGGCCCAACAUUCUCAUUUUUGGAUCCAUGGGCUUCUAAGUUACUGUUCUAGAGAAAUUUUGUUUACUCAAUGGAUAGCUACAACUGGGGAGAUGAAUUAUAAACAACUCACAUCCUAUUUUGUUCUUGUACAUUGACAAAUUUUGAUUCAUCAUCAAGGAUUUUGAGAGUGCUUAUUCUUGUUGGUUUAUUAACUUAUAAUAAAUUUCUUAAAGCCUAAGUACCCGUGCCUUUCUUUUAUUAUGUUUCCUCCGAAUCAAUACUCAUAACACUACUUUCUAUGAUUCUAUCAAAAAGAAAAAAAAAAAAAAGAAGAAAAAUUCUAUUCAUUCGAUUGAGCUAACUGUAUCGGACGUCCCGGAUAUAUCUUGCCACUAAUAAAAGGCGAAAUUGUCUCAUAUAUACUUAAAAUUUUUCUGCGCACACGAAACUGUAAAGAAAUAAUGCCUCAAACUAUUCGAGGUAAAGUUACUUCUGAUUCUCCCGCCCGACAAAGCAUUGUGCGAAAUCAAGAUUAAGCACUAUAUCUUUGUGCAUCUACUUUCACAUCAUAUCAUUACAUUAACAUCACCAUGGAAAAGAUAAUUUAAUCUCUUAUCUAUUCCCUGGUAUUUGACCAUUUGGUAUUGCUUAACUUGUUAACACACUUCUAUAUAUAGUUAAGGGAGUGAUUGACUAAAUUGCAAUUUCUGAGUUUUUGAAUAUCUCUAAUUCAUUGUAUAUAUAGUUUCAGUUAAUUUAUAUAGAAUAAACUAAUUUUGACUUUAAAAUAAGUGGGUGAUAAAUAUUAUAUAACUGGAUGGGUUGAGUAUUAUUACUCAAAAAUUAGUUAUUUGUUGGCGUAAAUCAUGCUAGGUAUAUAAUAUAUAUGGUGUAUUCAUAGUUUCAUACAGGAUUGUGAAGCUUCUAAAAGUAGGUAUCGUUCACCCACACUUGAUUAACUUAAUUAAUAGAAUUUAUUAAUAUUUUUACUUAGGCCAAUAAUGAAAAAACCGUGACACUUCUCCCACACAUAAAAAAAUAUUCCUAACCAUCAACAUACACACUCUAAUCAUUAAUUAAUUCUAAACAAAUAUUUAAUUUCUACCAAAGUUUAGCCACAUCUAUUUUAUUUAAAAAAUAUAUCGAGAGUAUAUGAGGCGAUCGGUUGUGACAUGAGUAUCAUUGUAAUUAAUUAAGUUUACAAUUAAUUGGUAAUUCUCACUAAAAUACUUAAUUAAAUAAUAAAUUUAGAUGUUUUGGUGUAAGUAAGCGAUUGUAACAUAAGUUGUGUGCAUUAAGUAUAAUUAAAAUAUUAGUUACGAAUUAAAUUAGAGGUUUUUAAUUAUGCGAGACAUAAGUUGUGAACUAACUUUAGGUAGCAGCAUUUUAAAUUAUUUUUUAAAAAAGAAAAUUAAAGAUGUGGAUCGUUCGACGCCUAUAUUUCAAAAUGGUGUUGCAAAUAUUCAACUCUUUUUCUCCUAUAUUUUGAGAAAUGGGUUGACCAUAUGCAUGAUUAAUUAACUACUAGGUAUUAAUUAAGUCAUAGUGUUGAGCUUUAAUUAGUUCAUUAUGAUCAUUUCUUGUCCUAUAUUAAUGAGUUUAAGGUCACAUAAAUGAAUCUCAUAAUAGAUAUCUCCAAUUAUAUAUGGACGGAAAAAUCUCAAUCAAUUUAUUAAAGUUUUAGCUUUUUAUGCUUUUUUUUUUUUAACCCUUCUUUAAUUUAUUGAAAUAAAGUGUUUAUUGAAAUAUCCCUUGUGUUGCAUAAAAUGAUUAUUCCUCGGCAAAAGUAAUUCCCUACACAUGUAAACCUUAGACUAUAUAGCAUCCCACUAAUAUAUUGGAUAAAUGCUCCUCCCAAUAUCAAUUGGUGAGUGAUGUAUAUAGUAAUUCCAAUAGCAGAAGCAAUCGAGAGAGAGAAGGAUAUAUAUACUUUAAUAUUGGUGAAUCCCUAGGUUAUUAUUAUAUAAAUAUAAGUAGAUUAGUUGAGAUAAAGAAGCAACUCCAUAGAGCAUAAUUAAACACAUCAUCUUUAAAUGACUACAACAGCAAUAGUUUAAUAUUCCAGCUGAUGUAACAUGCUUAGAAUACUUAAAUCUAGCUACCUCACUCAAUAUGCAUGAAUAUUUUGAUAUUCCUUUUGAUUUAUUAAAUUAUUUUGUAGUCCUUUCCUUGUUUUUCUUUUCUUUUUCUAAUGCGGCAUCUAAUGAUUCCUUCAUCUGGUGCUGCAACUCGGCUGAGAAUUGGCAUUUUAUUAACAUAAAAAUUAAGCUGAUUAAAAUUAUUUACUUUUUCUUAAAUAUUAUUUCAUGAUAUGCAAUAUUGUAAUAUAGUAUAGAAUAUAUAUAGAGUACGUCUCUUUUACUUUCGAAAGUACGGAGGUCUCCGUACUUAUAAGUUGUUUUCGAUGAUAGGAUAUCCGAUUCGACAAUCGGCUCCGUUAGAUAUAAUCUAUCAUAUUGGAACUAUCUAGAAAUCUAAUUUCAUACACUACAACAGAACUAGAUUAUAGGGACACAUGUUUGGGACACUUUUGAGUAAGUGUCCCAUUUAUGCUAAAACUUAAAAAAAUAUCUACUAAUGCCUAAAUAUAAAACCAAAUCCAACCAAAAAUAAAAGAUUACUCUACUCAACCCACCACACCCAGUCCAUUUGGCCCGAUUACAAACAGAAAAGAAAAAAAAAAGAAAAAUCAAUUACCAUAUUUUCUUCUCUCUUCACUCAAUCCACUAAAAUUCUAGACAAAGAGUCAUUCCUGUCAUCCUCCUUCGCCACCGCAGCCAACGAGAUAGAGUUUCGGCGGUUGCUAAAUGCUUAAAUAAAUUGUUGGUAAAUUAGCAGCACUCUUUUAGGUUAUAGCGACACUCUUUAACUGUCACUAUAUACCUAGCGACCCCACAUAUAGCAACAUUUUUAAAAGUGUCGGUAAUUUUAGCUAGCAACACUUUUUUGACAUGUAUCUACAUUUAAAAGUGUCGCUAUAGACCGUUUUUGUCGUAGUGAUAUUUUUUUGACAUCAUUUACCAAGUGAUCAAAAGAUCUCAAAAUCGACUAUUUUAAUGGUCGAUGUGGCAUGUUUUGAAGUUCAAUUGUGUAGAACAAUCCAAAUUACAUAAAACAUGAAAAGAAAAUUCUACUUAAUAUCAAUAGCAAGAUCAAUACUUGUGAAUUGAAAUUUGAGUAUUUUAUCACUAUUUUUUAUGAAAUUUUUAUUUUCAGCCGUUCAUUUUUAGACUACUCAUUCACUAGACAAAUAAAGUCAAAAAAUUAUGAAAUUUGGUUUCUAAAUAGUUCCAAUAGCAUAGAUCAUAUUUAACGGAACCGAUCACCGAAUCAAAUAUACCAUCAUUGAAAAUAACCUAUAAGUACGGAGGCCUCCAUACUUACGAAAAUAUAGGAGCCUCUCUCUCUCUCUCUCUCUCUCUCUCUCUCUCUCUCUAUAUAUAUAUAUAUAUAUAUUAUGACCUAAUGUGUUUAUUAAGAGAUUACCUCAUACAUGAUUGGAUAACAAAAUAAUGAUCUUUCAUUUUUUUUGGGAAUUUUACUUCACACUUAAAAUGUGAGAAAUGCUUUUUUUUUUUUUUAAGAGAGAAAGAUAGGCUUGCUAUCUGUUUCGUUCAUAGCGAAUAUGAACUGAGUUAUAGAGACAGGAUAACUGGUCCCCGAGAAUUAGAAAUGUCCUAAAAAUAUGAAAAAUGUUGAAGUUCCACAUGUUAUCAAAAUAGAAUAUUGUAUGUUCAAAUCACAUGUACAAAACCACAUUUUGAGGUUAAAUGUGAGGAGUGUUGAGAUCUAAGUUUUAGUUCCUUGAGGUUUAGCCCAUGCUUAGGUUAUUAAACAAAAAGAAAAGGGAGAGAAUCUUGGGAAAAAAUACCUAAAUGGAGCUAUCCUUUACCUUGAAUAAGAUCGGCCGAGAUCUUAGUAGGUCCCAGUAUCACUUAAUUAAACAGUAGAGGAACUUGAUGUUAUUAACAACUCAACAUAUUACCAAGAGAAUAAUCCAAAUCCAAAAGUUGUUACCUAGUUUUCUAGUUCUAUAUAUGUAUAUUCAACAAUUUUCACAUGCACAUGCAUGCUUAUCUAUAUAAGAGAAAUCGAAAGAACAAAAGAUCGAUAACUUAUUUUCAUGGCAUUAAUAUUUUGAAUUAACACUAGAUAGCUUUUAUUCCGACGCAAAUGUAAUACAACAAAUUAGAGCACCAUGAACUUAGGUCAACAUCAAUAUUAAUAAUUUUAAAGCCAAAGUGCUUUUGAAAAUACUGCUAAACAGAAUAAUCAAGCAACUCAUAGAAGGAGUUGAAAUAUAUAUAGAUUCGACUGAAAUAGAAAUUAAACAUCGAUACAUCCGUCGCAUACUGUUGAAAUUUAAUAAUUUAAACCAAAGUUUGCAACAAGACCAAAGUAACUAAUAAUGCAAAUUAAUUAAAUAACCCACCCUUGAUGUUAAUUUCUUGUGUGAUGGAGGAUCCCAGCAGGAUCACAAAGGGGGCCACAUCACAUGUAAGGAAUUAAGGUUAUUAUUAUAGUGGAUUGAUGUGGUGGUGGUGUCUUGCUUAGAUGCAAAUGAGAUUAGAUUAUUAUAAUAUUUAAGUACAUAUAUAUAGAUAUAUUUACAUAUAUAAUAAAUAUAUAAGGGGUCUUUUCAAUUGAAAGGUCUUCCUCAACGCAUUGUGGGAUAGUUUAGACAAGCGCAGAUGUGCUCUCCUUUUCAUCUAAAUUAUCUUAUUUAAAGAGGGAGAGCCACCAACAAAUUCAUACAUUUUAAUUAACCUCCUUUAAAUUAAAUUCAUUACCAACCUAGGAGGUUUAAUUUCCAUGUAAUUAUGAUGGGGUGCUUUGGCAAUAAAUUGCACUAUUUGUCACUAAAAUAUGCCUGAUAUUUCAUUUUAAUUUUUAAAUUACUCACAAAAUCUGUUAGUUACGUGCCAGCGAAAUAUUUUUUACAUGAAAAUGCUAAAAUAGUCACUGUCUGAGAAUGUAUAAAAAUGCAACUGACCUAAUAUAUUACGAUUUUUGUCAUGGUCAAAUCUUUCUUCACUCAUAAUUAAUAAGUAUAGAAAAUAAUUACGUGGCAUGUCAUAUUUCAUUUUAUUGUCAUGGGAGACAUGAUAGGGCUAAGGUUAAAAUAAUAUUGAUUGUUUAAUCUCUGGAAUGCAUGUAUGUUGAACUUUGGGGAUCAAAAUGAAGUGUGAGCUAGUAAUAGUUUUUCAUUUUUAGAGAAAAUUAGCUAGUAAUACUUAGAGACAUUGAGGUAAUCGACUCAUAAUAUAAUUAAUAUUACAUAAUAGAUAAUCAAAUAAUUAUAUUCAGAUAUGAAUUGAAUUUAAAUAUACUGAUCACUCAGUUGAUCGGCUUGUUUCGACCUGCUUCUAUAAUAAUAUUUUUAUUUUCAAAAAAAUUGAAGAUCUAGAAUUUUUGACGUGAGAGAAAACAAAGUAAGUUUUUUAGAAUUUAGAAGUACUAGAAACCUAAACUUAUUUUUAUUU